AACACGUAAAGAACCUGCCCUCAGGUCUGGGAUAACCACGAGAAAUCGGGGCUAAUACCGGAUGGGUCAUCGGACCGCAUGGUCCGAGGAUGAAAGGCGCUUCGGCGUCGCCUGGGGAUGGCUUUGCGGUGCAUUAGCUAGUUGGUGGGGUAAUGGCCCACCAAGGCGACGAUGCAUAGCCGACCUGAGAGGGUGAUCGGCCCCACUGGGACUGAGACGCGGCCCAGACUCCUACGGGAGGCAGCAGUAGGGAAUCUUCCACAAUGGACGAAAGUCUGAUGGAGCAACGCCGCGUGAACGAUGAAGGCCUUCGGGUCGUAAAGUUCUGUUGUAAGGGAAGAACAAGUGCCGCAGGCAAUGGCGGCACCUUGACGGUACCUUGCGAGAAAGCCACGGCUAACUACGUGCCAGCAGCCGCGGUAAUACGUAGGUGGCAAGCGUUGUCCGGAAUUAUUGGGCGUAAAGCGCGCGCAGGCGGCCUCUUAAGUCUGAUGUGAAAGCCCCCGGCUCAACCGGGGAGGGCCAUUGGAAACUGGGAGGCUUGAGUAUAGGAGAGAAGAGUGGAAUUCCACGUGUAGCGGUGAAUGCGUAGAGAUGUGGAGG
RNAcentral lists this ribosomal RNA (603 nucleotides) under uncultured bacterium. RNAcentral's name for it is "bacterial SSU rRNA". It matches the Rfam family "Bacterial small subunit ribosomal RNA", at positions 112 to 704 of the family's 1533-position model. The record is from RNAcentral.